Molecule: small nucleolar RNA, 130 nt
Organism: Pelodiscus sinensis (Chinese soft-shelled turtle)
Lineage: Eukaryota; Metazoa; Chordata; Testudines; Trionychidae
Product: small nucleolar RNA SNORA49
Source: Ensembl
CAUUUUCCUUACACUAGGGGCUUUUUUGCCUAUAUAGUCUCCUGGUCACCCGAGGAUAAAUUAAAAAUUAUGCUCAUAUGUCUCCCCAGUAGGACUCUGAGUUUCCUUUGGGGCCUACUUCAGUAACAUA